Vespula vulgaris is the source of this 1684-nucleotide RNA transcript. It is a transcript of the gene named persulfide dioxygenase ETHE1, mitochondrial, with no coding region annotated. The record is from RefSeq and is a predicted model, not a curated record. The transcript has 6 exons. Lineage: Eukaryota; Metazoa; Arthropoda; Insecta; Hymenoptera; Vespidae.
GAAGGACUUACGAUAUUGUUCAAACUCUAUUAUAUGAUUCUAAAAUUUCUUAUAUAUUACAUUAUGAUUUUUCAAAUGAGGUAGUCUUUUAUCAAAUAUAUGUAAUUUUAUAAAAUUUAUUUAUUUUUUAUAUGACAAUUAUCCAUAUGACAUUGUUUAAAUAAAUGAUUUAAGAUUGUUAUGAAGGUUAUGUUAUAAAAGUUAUCAACGACGUAACUAAGAUGAUCUCAUAUUGUUAAAUUUUUACUUUGAAGUAUUAUACUAACUGCGUAUUUAAAAAUAAGAUUAUCUACAUUAUCUUGUAAACGUACAUGUAUAUAUAUGUGUCCAUGUAUGCACAGCAAUUAUUAGUGUUGUUUAGCUUUUAAUUGCAAGCAGUAGUGAUAUAACUUGUCAAAGAGAUGAAUGUAUUGUUGAAUAAAUUGAAUCAACAAUUAUUAAGAUUGGCAGGAAAAUUUUUUCAAACGGGACAUAUAUUAAUUGGAAAUUACCAUCAACAUGGAACCUUGACGGAACAUAUUCCUUUCUCAAAGGACUUUCUAUUUCAGCAGUUAUUCGAUCCGGUGUCCAGUACAUAUACAUAUUUACUUGCUGAUAUCAAUAAUAAAGAAGCUAUUUUAAUCGAUCCAGUCAUUGAAUGGGCCGAUCGAGAUAAAACAAUUAUCGAAGAACUCGGUUUGAAUUUGAAAUAUGUUGCGAAUACACAUAUGCACGCAGACCACAUUACAGGAACAGGCCGAUUAAAAUCGUUAUUACCAGGUUGUCGAUCGAUGAUCUCCCGCAAUAGUGGUGCCGAGGCCGACAUUCUCUUGGAGCCACGAGACCGCAUCAAAUUUGGUAGACAUUAUCUGGUGGUGAUACCCACACCUGGUCAUACUGAAGGAUGCGUGACGUAUGUGUGCGAUGAACAAGGAAUCGCUUUCACGGGCGAUGCCUUAUUAAUACGUGGAUGUGGAAGAACAGACUUUCAGAUUUUUUUAUUUGUUAGGGUGGCUCAUCAGAAAUAUUGUACAAGUCUGUACAUGAAAAUAUAUUUACCUUACCAUCACAUUACAGACUAUAUCCUGCACAUGAUUAUAAUGGUAGGACUGUAACUACUGUAGCUGAAGAAAAAAUAUUGAAUCCUAGAUUAUCUAAAUCAUUGAAUGAAUUUGUAAAUAUUAUGAAUAAUCUUAAUCUUCCAUAUCCAAAAAUGAUUGACAAAGCUGUACCAGCUAACAAAGUUUGUGGAGUCUUUGAAAUUAAUAAGAAGAAGGGAAAACAGUGAGAAAAUAACGAGAGAUCGUCAAAUUUCAUCAACUCUUUUCUCAUUAAAUAUGAGAUAAGAUUGUAUAUAUAUGUGUGUAAAUAUAUACAUACACACAUAUAUAUAUAUAUGUCUCUAUGCAAUGUACAGUUUCCAAGAUACUUAUAAACUUUCUCAAUUAAUAAUAGAUAUUUGCAAUUUAAUGUAUAAACAUUUGCAUAUAUUCGUAAAAAUCAUAGAUUUGUAACUAGUAUAAUAUUAUUUUUAUAUAUUUUAACAAAUAUAUAUAUAUAUAUCAAGUUAGCAUAAUGAUAAUAGUAGUAAUAAUGAGAUUAUUAUUUAAAUGUUUGAAUUUUUCUGAAAAAGCAAUAUAAAAAUCUGUUGAACUUAUUCUAAAUAAUUAAAUUAUAUAAUUAAAUAAAAAUAAUUUAAUUAUUA